This 816-nucleotide ribosomal RNA is filed under the name Triticum aestivum (bread wheat). RNAcentral's name for it is "partial small subunit ribosomal RNA". The record is from RNAcentral. Lineage: Eukaryota; Viridiplantae; Streptophyta; Magnoliopsida; Poales; Poaceae.
AUGGUGCUGGCCGCUUUUGCACACUUCUCCUCUGUGCUAGGCGCGCCCGCAGAACGUAGUGCUACCCUCAACCUGGCGGCCAUUGGCCACCCUUCUUUUGACCUCUCCGCCCUGGAACAACCUUUCUCCUCCGACGAAAUCUGGGAGGCAAUCAAGCGGCUUCCCUCUGGCAAGGCGCCCGGUCCGGACGGAUUCACGGCAGAGUUCCUGCAUGCUUGCUGGCCCAUUAUCAAGGAUACUCUCUGCGAGGUUUUCGACAAGCUCUAUGCCCUAAAUGGCCAGGCCUUCCAGCGGCUUAACGAAGCUCUCAUCACCUUGCUGCCCAAACGGCCCGAUGCCUCGUCCCUCUUCGACUACCGCCCGAUCAGCCUCAUACACCUCGUGGCGAAGCUUUUCGCCAAGGUUCUGUCUCUCCGGUUGGCGCCGCGCCUUGGUGAGCUUGUUUCCUCUAACCAGAGCGCAUUCAUAGCUGGGAGGAGCGUCCACGACAAUUUCAUCCUCGUCCAACAAACCGCGCGCCAACUACACCAACUCAAGCACCCCCGAGUUCUCCUCAAGCUGGAUAUUGCGCAUGCCUUGGACUCGGUUUCCUGGCCAUUCCUACUUAAGGUGCUCCAUCACGUGAGUUUUGGUUUGCGAUGGCGUGAAUGGAUUUCCAUCCUGAUCUCGACGGCCUCGACGCGCGUCUUGAUCAAUGGAGUAUCGGGCCCUCCCAUCCCGCAUGGCCAAGGCCUUCGUCAGGGCGACCCCGUGUCUCCCAUGCUUUUCGUGCUCAUCAUCGACACGCUCAACACCCUCCUCCAGUUCACCGUCUAG